This 238-nucleotide ribosomal RNA is filed under the name uncultured bacterium. RNAcentral describes it as "partial 16S ribosomal RNA". It matches the Rfam family "Bacterial small subunit ribosomal RNA", at positions 15 to 235 of the family's 1533-position model. The record is from RNAcentral.
GAUCAUGGCUCAGGAUGAACGCUGGCGGCGUGCUUAACACAUGCAAGUCGAACGAAGCACUUUGGACAGAUUCUUCGGAUGAAGUCCUUAGUGACUGAGUGGCGGACGGGUGAGUAACGCGUGGGUAACCUGCCUCAUACAGGGGGAUAACAGUUAGAAAUGGCUGCUAAUACCGCAUAAGCGCACAGUACCGCAUGGUACGGUGUGAAAAACUCCGGUGGUAUGAGAUGGACCCGCG